CUACUUUUUGGCCUUUUUCUCUGGUUCUCUGUAUCCAUGGCACUGCAAAUAUAGCAAAAUAUUGUUCCAUAUCCACGGUAGCAGCAAACUACCACUUUGCAACUCCCUCAUUCCCUAGGUAUAAAGAAAUCUUCAGCUCCACGACGAGGUACCAUGGUAAUCGUUAAAAAUUUUGUUGUUUUGGAUUAUACUUGGCUACAAACAGAAAGGAAUAAAGUUCUAUAGAAAUUCAUUAAAUGAACCUUGAAUUUGAUUAGUUUUAGUCAGUCGAAUGAGAAAACUGAAAACGAAAAAUCUCAUCUUUUUUGUUGCUGAAAGAACUUAAAAUGAAAAAUAAAUAGAAGAAUGAGGAAGAGGGAUUAAUUUUGUCGACUCUAAAUUUAUGGGAAUAAGACCAAAUUUGUUGUUGUCGUAUUGUUUUUAAAGAGCUUUGCUGAAUCUGAAGUGCUUUUUUAGUAGGAGAAUUGGGGGCUGCAGAGUAAAUGUAUGGAAAGCAAAGUUGUCAGAGUUAAAUGCUAAGAAAGCAAAUCUUUCUGCAAGAAAGAAGGGAAGGAUAAGGCUUUCAAAUUAUGUUGAUGAUGGCACUGGAGGCAAGAAUAGUCAUCAUAUAAGUGAAUUUCUUUGUCAUCCUCGUGGG
Molecule: long non-coding RNA, 637 nt
Filed under: Olea europaea subsp. europaea
Lineage: Eukaryota; Viridiplantae; Streptophyta; Magnoliopsida; Lamiales; Oleaceae
Source: RNAcentral